UUAAAAAAAAAAAAAAAUCAAUUGAAAGGGAGAAACACAUCCUCGAUGCUUUUGCUUGGAUCGGAUUGGGACUUACUCCUGGGCUUGUUUGGUUGUUGGUGACAAAAGGGGAAAAGGGGUUUUUCUUUUUUUCCUGGUUAACUUUGCUUUUGAGGUUGUGAAAUGGUUUUGCGUCUUUGGAGAUUGGAGCUUUAUAGUUUACUAGUUAGACUCUGUUUUAUAUGGCUUAGAUUUUGUUUCCUAAUUCACCUUUCUGGUACAAUUGGUUGAAAUUCGUUCUUUUUUUGACUUACCACUUGUUAUGAUGUUUAUUACAUUGGACCAUAUUUUAGUCCAACUGUGUUAUAGUAUAAUCUACCUGGUUAUGAUUUCUAUUUCCAAAAUAUUUUCCCCGUUUCUGUUAGGAUUGUUUAGUCUUUCCAUAGCUAUUAGGCAUUAAACAAUUGGAGUAUUUUUAUUUCUUGGUUUUUUCCCCUAAUUUUGUGUGAAUGAUAAUAUUGUGAUGGAUUCACAAUGAGCAACAACAGAAGUCAAAAGGAUUAUUAUCAUAAUCCCACAUCUUAACCAAUAGUUAUUUUUAAGAUAUUCAUUAUAUAUAAUAAAUAUAAAUUAAAUCAUCAUUUAACCUGCUUAUGUGUUCAUUAGAAGAUGUCAUAUGAUUUUUUUUGGGUACAUCCAUGAAGCAGGAAAUCCCAUUUUCUCAACUGAGCUGCAACGGCAUGGAAAAGGCAAAAAGAAAAAAGGCAGGAUUGUUUCUGAAUUUUCCUGAGGAUUUACUAUGUGACAUACUGCUAAGACUACCGUUAAGUUCACUGCUACGAUUUAAAGCUGUGAACAGAUGCUGGCAUUCUUUAAUUUCAAGUCAUGGGUUCGCGAUUGGGCAUCUUAAUUAUCAAGCUAAUAAUGCAGAACCUAGCCCUCGCAAAUAUGGAGUUAUCCAAGUAUCAAACAUACCUCAACAACAACUGCCACGGCUUUCUCUCUACAUGCACAGAAAAGCUGAAGAAGAAGAUUCUGAUGUAUUAAUUGUGCAGACUGUGGGGUUUCCUAAUCCUCUUUUGCUGCUAGAAGAUUUUAAAAACAUCAAUGAUUCACAGGUCUUUGGUUCAUGUAAUGGUUUGCUACUUCUAGGCCAUGGUAAAAACCCAAAGCGCUUCAUCUUGUGGAAUCCGUCAACUGGGCAGGAUAAGGAGCUACCAUUGAACCACUUUUGCGAGUGCCCUACGACAUUCAUGGCUGGCCUUGGUUAUGAUUCUUUCUCUGAUAAUUACAAAGUGCUUGCAGCAGUUAAUGAUGGAGGUUCACAGUUAACCUAUAUUGCUGUAUAUAAUCUUAAGACCAAUUCCUGGGCUAUGUUGGAAAAGACUGUAUUCCCUUAUGAGUUCUCUUCUGAUUCUAGCCAACCAGGGAUAACCCUCGCAAAUGGAGCUCCUCAUUGGGUGCUGAAGCGUAGGGGUACUGGUCAUGUAGCAAAUGUGAUAAUUUAUUUUGACUUAGUUCAGGAGAACUUCAAGGAGUUGCCCCUGCCUGGUCGGCUGGUAGGUGCUAAAAAUGUUUUUCUGGGAGCUUGCAAAGGUUCUCUCUGUGUUGGCUCUUUAUGGCCCGUUAACAGUCAGAUAUGGAUAAUGAACCAAUAUGGUGUGAAGGAGUCUUGGACCAUGUUGAUGCUUAUCCCAGGAGCUUCUUCCACUUAUAGCAUCCUAAAUUUUCAACAUUUGAUGUCAAUGCAAUUUCCAAAGAAGAGUAUAGUUCUGAUGAUAUUAGAUGGGAAUAGUGCAGCCCUAUUCAAGAAUAAAGUAAAGGAGUCUAACUCAUUUUCCUUCUCAGGUUGUCAAGAAGGGUUGAUAAUAACUGCAUACAUGGAGAGUCUUAUAUCACCCAAUAAUUACGGUUGAUAUACAAGCUCUUACACUAGGGAUUGAAAGAUGAAAGAUUGGUGAGAUUGCAGCUUACCCUUCUUAAUUCUCUAGUAUCUUAAAUUUUCUCUACAUCUUAACUGGCCAUGAAUCAGUGACUUGUAAGGAUAAUGUGAUGCAUGUAUAUCUUAUCAUUGAGUAAGUUAUUCUAUUUGUCAAGCUUAGAAUACCAGUAUCCUACCUAUAGUUUUAUUUUAUUUUGUUUUAUUUAUUAUUGGGUUUGUAAUGUAAUAUGGUUCUGUUCUUGUUAAUAAUGCCUUUUGGCAGCCUCAUGGUCUGAUGGGUUUGGAUAACAGUACCUGCACAGUCUGGAUCAGCUUUGUUGUUUAAGUUAUCAAGAUUAUUGUCCGACAAUAUGAGCUUGAUAAUCAUCUGCUACUGUUUUCAUUGCUUAUUAGGAAUAAAGAUCAAAUCGGCUCU
Molecule: unclassified non-coding RNA, 2336 nt
Filed under: Hevea brasiliensis (rubber tree)
Lineage: Eukaryota; Viridiplantae; Streptophyta; Magnoliopsida; Malpighiales; Euphorbiaceae
Source: RNAcentral